GCCUCCCUACCUCUAAAGGCCUCCACAGUCUGCAGUUCCAGCUCCAGAAAACGUGCCAAGAAGAGAGCUCAGGACCCUGGAGCGGAACACUGGAACACUGGAAGGGAGGGAGACUCCAGCUCAGACAACGGGGUGGGGGUGAAGGAACGGGUUAAGUUUUCUCUUUCUUAUUCUAAAGAAAUAAAGAUGAGAACCAGUA
Molecule: long non-coding RNA, 199 nt
Organism: Herpailurus yagouaroundi (jaguarundi)
Lineage: Eukaryota; Metazoa; Chordata; Mammalia; Carnivora; Felidae
Exons: 2
Source: RefSeq, a predicted model, not a curated record